CCAAAAUGCCUGUGACUACACCAAAGCCAGCCGUCAAAAGGGAAGCGUGUCAAAGACGCCCAAAUAAUGUGAUGUAUUCUAUUGUCUUAGUCCAUAUAACAAAGUAUCAUAGACUGGAUGUGCUAAACAAGCAUUGAUUUCUCACGGCGCUGGAAGCUUAAAGAUCCAAGAUCGAGGAGGCAACGGAGUCAGGUUUUAUCUUUCAGCAUGAACUAUAGAUAAGAAGAAUGGGAGAGGCCAGCAAAAUAAAGAGGCUUAAUUUCAAUGGAUUCCACUCUCUUUCUCGCAGUAUAUCCAUGUCAGCCAUGGUGCCAGAAACUAAAGUAUCUUUCAGGUUGCUUUGCUUCUCUGCUGGACUUGAAGCAAAUAAUUGACACCAUCUCCAUUGGGACUCCAACUGAUCCAUCAUCAAAUCUUCCCUUUUCUUCCUGAGAGAACUCAGGCAGACAGACUUGCAUAGGAAUUCUGGCCUCAUCUCACCCUGUGACCAUGUGCAUGAUAGUUAACCUCUCAGGCUGCAUUUAUACAUCUGUGAAAUGGGGAUGAUAAGAUUCAUCAAUCAAGGAUCUGUAGAAGAAAUGCAACAAGAUGCAGAGCUGCCUAGCUAUUUACAACAUAGUAAAUAGUAAAUGUGAGCUGUUACCCCAUCUGAGGGACACAAAGAAUCCAGUUAAAAUUUGACUGCAUGAGCUCAGAGUGCAUAUUCAGCUUGGUGUUAUACAUCUUAAAAAAAAAAUCAGAAUGUUUGUCUCUAUUACAGAAAUCCUGAGAUUAAAAAAAAUACCAAUUUGUUCCAAGUUUUUCCUUUCCCAGGGGUUUUAACAGACUCACAGGUCCUAUUUUGAUAACCUACUACAUUUGUCUAGGCAUUCACUUUAAAAAGUAACAAAUAUAAUAGUUACUUUAGCCUCAGCUUUGUAGAUGUUUUACAUGGGUAUUAUUUUUCAGACAAUGAAUGAUAUCUGAUUAUUCUGGGAAAAUCAGAUUUGACUUGAGGUUUCCUCCUUGGCUUUUAUUUACAAAUCAAAACAAUGUACUGAAAAGCACGUUGAAAAGAAUUUUUCAAGCACAUUGUUGUGUUUCCAGAGGAAGAAGCUACAACCUCAAGUGAACUUCCUUGUUCUUAAUACAUAUUUUAGUUUUUUAAAAGUUUUUCUCUCCUACAAGUAGAUUUGCCUUUAUACUUUAACAUUCUUAUUAUUAAAAUUCAUUAGACAUGGAUUACAGCAGAAAACACUAUUCAACUAUUGUAACUAUGAAUCCUGUGAGUUUUCUGUCUACUGUAUCUCCUACUGUAUCUCCUAAACAGCAUGGAAGGGAAAUAGUCACAUGAUUAUUAGCACUCUAGAGUUUAUGGGGGUCAGUCACUCUUAGAAGACAGUAAAAGGGAGGAAGCAAAAUAUAUGACUGUCAACUAUGAUGUUUCUGGCUGAUGAAUAUAAAUAUUCUGGUUUUCUUGCAGACUGUAAGUUUCCUAUCUUAAAUUUCAAUGCAGAAAAACAUUGAAAGGUUAUUAUAAAACACUUUUUCUACAUUGAAUUGCACAUGAAAUUAUAUAAAAAAUAUGCAAAGAAAUCCCCUUUUGGCAAUCAUAAUAAAUAUGAAUUUAUAGCCUUGUGUUCAUUUAAGUUAUUCAACAAUGACUUUUUAAAACUUACUAUUUCAUGUGUUCUAUAUUGAACACAAAAGUCACAGAAAUAAACAACUCACAGUGCUUUUCUCCCAGGGAUUUAACCAUCUAGGGAGACAAUUUCCAGUCCACUUCACUUUCAUGAAUAUAAGUUACAAAAAUAGAUUUUUCCUUAUCCAAGAAUUUAGUCAGCAUUUUUUAAAAAUUUUUUUAUGAUAGCCACCCACAGAGAGAGAG
Molecule: long non-coding RNA, 1867 nt
Organism: Canis lupus familiaris (dog)
Lineage: Eukaryota; Metazoa; Chordata; Mammalia; Carnivora; Canidae
Exons: 5
Source: RefSeq, a predicted model, not a curated record